AUGAUAAGCCUGAUGAGUGGGGGAAGAGCUAUGUGUGUACACUUAGCAUGCGUGUGAAUAGGAUGUCCACAUGAACAAUAACUGUAAUCUUAUUGCACAAGGCCACUUCACGAAUGGGAGCCAGGUACGACAUGCCGCGGAUGCACCAUAGUAGCCCCCUAUGCUUCCUCGACAGCCUACUGAAUAUCAGUAAACCUCGCUCGCCUUUUGAAGGAGAUGUGUGUAUUUACCGAGCGGUCUCCACCACACAUUGAUAAUAAGAUUUGAGUGCAAGACGUCCCCCUCCGCACUCUUCCUGGCUGACGAGGGUGGGAUUUGAACCCACGCCCUUACGGACUAGAAAUUUCUCAUCCUGGUCUGAACCAGGUAGUCCUGAAUCUAGCGCCUUAGACCGCUCGGCCACCUCAUCAUGCUGUGCACGUGCACCCAGCCGAUAACGUUUGUGUACACCAAAACGCAACAGACCUUCAUGCAUCCCUGCCGUGCAAUUUGCUCGACUUUUUUCGAGUGUUACAAAAUGAUGUUCGAUAUGAACAUCAAGCAUGUACAUACAUACAAGUUUNNNNNNNNNNNNNNNNNNNNNNNNNNNNNNNNNNNNNNNNNNNNNNNNNNCGUGGAUGUCAAAACGAGGGGGAAAGGGGGAAAACGCGGCGGGGUGGAAUAGUUAGGAGGGUGUGUUUCAGGGCAUGACGGGGGGCCCCUGCAACCUAGGCGACGCAUUCGUUUGAAUGUCACCAUGGCCGCAGUCGGGGGAUGGCAAAACGAGGGGGGAAAGGGGGAAAAUGCGGCGGGGUGGAUUGGUUAGGUGGGCGUGUUUAACGGCAUGACGGGGGCCCCCUGCAACCUAGGCGACGCAUUCAUUUGAACGUCACCAUGGCCGCAGUCGGGGGAUGGCAAAACGAGGGGGGAAAGGGGGAAAAUGCGGCGGGGUGGAUUGGUUAGGAGGGCGUGUUUAACGGCAUGACGGGGGCCCCCUGCAACCUAGGCGACGCAUUCAUUUGAACGUCACCAUGGCCGCAGUCGGGGGAUGGCAAAACGAGGGGGGAAAGAGGGAAAACGCGGCGGGGUGGAAUGGUUAGGAGGGUGUGUUUAACGGCAUGACGGGGGCCCCCUGCAACCUAGGCGACGCAUUCAUUUGAACGUCACCAUGGCCGCAGUCCGGGGAUGGCAAAACGAGGGGGGAAAGGGGGAAAACACGGCGGGGCGGAAUGGUUAGGAGGGCGUGUUUAAGGGUAUGACGGGGGGCCCCCGCAACCUAGGCGACGCAUUCGCUUNNNNNNNNNNNNNNNNNNNNNNNNNNNNNNNNNNNNNNNNNNNNNNNNNNCCGUCAACAAUGGCAUUUAAAUGUGGUUCCCAGCCAGCUGCCGACUUCAAUCUGCUUAGCCCUUUCUAACUGAAAUGCACUGAAUUUUCUUUUCUUUUUUGCCAAGAUGGCUGGUUUAAAGCUGCUGUUGUUGCCCUUAAAAGCAUAAGCAUGACAACCUGGGAAUUGCCUUGUUCCUUCUUCCCUUGGAACCCCACAGCUUCCCAGGAGAGAGAAGUGCAAACUUAAAAUCAAGCAAGAAGAGCAAGGAUGACAUACUCGCCGAGGGACGCAAGCAGCGGGAUGCCUGGGACCGGGAUUUUGUUGCAGAGGUUAAUAAAGUCAUGGAUGAAGUUGUCCAACACAACUUCAAUGAGAGGUUCUGCCGGGUAAGGCCCCUAACAGCAGCACAACUUGUCACUACACACUCAUGAAGCACUGACUUGCUUGCAGGCCACAAUCAAGGCAUCGAACCUGCCUCUGUCCAUCAAGGCACCACUGUACAUCGGCUUCUGCACAGAGUAAGUGGAAGGAUGCCAUCGAGUUUGUGUACUGCCACACAAACUGUAAGUGUGGCAUUUAUUGCAGCUGCAGUUGCAUGCUUGGAAACCCCACAUAACUGCACAACUCCUUGUAUAACACGCAGAUGUGCUGUCCAAGUCUGCAUUGGAGUACUGGAGGAUCAGCCAGGCGUGCCUUGAAAAGAAGAAGCGGGCAAUCAUGGUAUCGAUCAUCCGAGUGGCAUUUGUGAAUGCCAAGGCAGCUGUAAGUACAUGUUGUUAAAUAGUUCUGGGCUGACUCUACUGUGUUUAGCGGUUUAAGAUCCUGGGUUCGAUUCCCGGGGAGAUCCCCAAGUUCGGGGGAACGAGGGUAAGCUAGCUGCUGAGAUGUGGAGUUGAUUUUAAAGUUGAUUGAUCAGGUUGCAUGCUGGUAAGGUGGUGAUUUCUGAACCCUCCGUCUCUUCGGAUGUCCGGGUGAAUGGACGAGGAAGGGCCCCCCGAGCAUCCCUCCAGCUGCUAAACUAUUAUUCCAACAGACUAUAUCAAUUCGGCCCAUAUGCUGCAUUUGCAGGGAUCCUGCCAGACCCCUGCCACGGCCCCAGCCGUCAUGAUGGGUGAGAUGAACAGUGGUGCCACCGAAGCAGCAGCAGGUACGCGGGGUAUGGGUUAUGGGUAUGAUGUAUUAUGACAUGUCAUUGUGGAUGUAUCCAUGGCACAUGUCAUGCAGUUGCUUGUAGGUUCCUGAACAUCGCAGGGCACCAGUAUCAUGCAUUUUGGGUCUUACAUAUGCUCACAUCUUGAUGUUCUGCUAGCAGGUCUCAGCUCAGAUGGCCAUGGCUGCACCGGAAGCGGCUGUGAUUGCUGGCAAAACAAUUAUGGGGCCAGCUGGUUGUGAGCCAGAGGGUGACUACCUGGAGGACCUGAUUGGCGAGAGACUUGACGAUGUCAUUGCAGAGUAUGGGGACACCAUGGCGACGGGUGGCACUGGUGGUGGUGCAUAUGGGAUGCCUGACCAUGAAACCAUGUGGUGCACCGCCAUCACUGCUCACCAGAUGCGGGCUGAGCUUGCUGCAGUGAAACAAGCUGCCAGGGCACACACUUAAGUCCCUGAAGGUUUACGGAUUGAGACCUGCAAGGAGUGAAGUUCAUAGUUAUGAUAUUGAUAAUGGAAGGCAGUUGUGGUUCAGGAAUGUAGUUGAGCUGCAGGUAAUCUGGCUUACUUUAUAGGAUGCUACUGGUGGGUGAUUUACCUGAUUGAUCCACUGAAACAUUGAGGUUUGUCACCUUAACGGUGUGGAGUGUUGGAGUACAUACAUUUAUUUGCGAUAGCAGACUUGGAGUCUGGAGCCCACAUAUUGAUGGGUUGCUGGUCAUGACUUAUAAGCCCACAGUGAACAACUUCUGGGAUGUGCGCAAAACAUGGGCCAGGGGUGGUCAUGGAGUGCAGUGUAUGACUCAUGUAAACAAUGUAAAACAUGUGCCAAUGUGGUCAUGGAAUGCAGUGUACGCGUCAUGUAAACCAAGCAAAACAUGGGCCAGGGUGGUCAUGGAAUGCAGUGUACGACUCAUGGAAUGUGUGCAAAACAUGGGCCCGGGUAGUCAUGGAGUGCAGUGUACGACUCAUGGAAUGAGUGCAAAACAUGGGCCAGGGUGGUCAUGGCCUGCAUUGUUGCAUCAUGGAAUACCAUGCACAAUAUGACCUGGUCAUGUUCCGCAUAUUUAUGAGCAGGUACAUGACCACCUUUAUGACCUCAUGGGGUCAUAAAGUGCAGCCAUGACUGAAUACGGUCAUAUUGCGGUCCCAUGACCUGUCAUAAAUCCCAUCAUAAAUGACAUCAUGACCACGCAUUUCAUGACCCCAACCAGUCAUAUCCUGCACUUGCUUAUGCAAACUAUGAACUGAUCCAUGACCGGAUCCAUGACUUAAUGACAAAUUAUGACCGGAUCCAUGACCACAUACAUGACCAAAUCCAUGACUUGAUGGCAAAUUAUGGCCGGAUCCAUGACCGCAUCCAUGACCAAAUCCAUGACUGGAAAACCCAUCCAUGACCAAGUCUUUCCCCGAGUGCAUCUUAAGUGUUGGAAUCAAGUGUCUUUCUGGUUGGGCUUGUUACCCAUAUGCAUACCUGUAUCCUGGUAGCCCAUCACAUCAGGAACAAUAGUGACCUGUGCCUGGCUCAAGUUAUUAAAUUGGUUCACGUGUUUCAACUUCCACAAACAACGAAAUGAUGAGCAUGCAUAUGUGCAUUAUAUAAUUAUACAUAGCACAUGAUCCAAACAGUCAUGAUAAGCCUGAUGAGUGGGGGAAGAGCUAUGUGUGUACACUUAGCAUGCGUGUGAAUAGGAUGUCCACAUGAACAAUAACUGUAAUCUUAUUGCACAAGGCCACUUCACGAAUGGGAGCCAGGUACGACAUGCCGCGGAUGCACCAUAGUAGCCCCCUAUGCUUCCUCGACAGCCUACUGAAUAUCAGUAAACCUCGCUCGCCUUUUGAAGGAGAUGUGUGUAUUUACCGAGCGGUCUCCACCACACAUUGAUAAUAAGAUUUGAGUGCAAGACGUCCCCCUCCGCACUCUUCCUGGCUGACGAGGGUGGGAUUUGAACCCACGCCCUUACGG
Molecule: long non-coding RNA, 4421 nt
Filed under: Volvox carteri
Lineage: Eukaryota; Viridiplantae; Chlorophyta; Chlorophyceae; Chlamydomonadales; Volvocaceae
Description: long non-coding RNA (VCAR_LNC003738)
Source: RNAcentral